Molecule: ribosomal RNA, 500 nt
Filed under: uncultured bacterium
Lineage: Bacteria
Description: partial 16S ribosomal RNA
Rfam family: Bacterial small subunit ribosomal RNA
Source: RNAcentral
AUUGAACGCUAGCGGGAUGCCUUACACAUGCAAGUCGAACGGCAGCGCGGACUUCGGUCUGGCGGCGAGUGGCGAACGGGUGAGUAAUGUAUCGGAACGUGCCCAGUAGCGGGGGAUAACUACUCGAAAGAGUAGCUAAUACCGCAUACGCCCUACGGGGGAAAGGGGGGGAUCGCAAGACCUCUCACUAUUGAAGCGGCCGAUAUCGGAUUAGCUAGUUGGUGAGGUAAAGGCUCACCAAGGCGACGAUCCGUACCUGGUUUGAGAGGACGACCAGCCAAACUGGGACUGAGACACGGCCCAGACUCCUACGGGAGGCAGCAGUGGGGAAUUUUGGACAAUGGGGGAAACCCUGAUCCAGCCAUUCCGCGUGUGCGAUGAAGGCCUUCGGGUUGUAAAGCACUUUUGGCAGGAAAGAAAUCGCAUCAAUUAAUACUUGGUGUGGAUGACGGUACCUGCAGAAUAAGCACCGGCUAACUACGUGCCAGCAGCCGCCGUAA